Molecule: ribosomal RNA, 494 nt
Filed under: uncultured bacterium
Lineage: Bacteria
Description: partial 16S ribosomal RNA
Rfam family: Bacterial small subunit ribosomal RNA
Source: RNAcentral
GACGAACGCUGGCGGCGUGCUUAACACAUGCAAGUCGAACGGUGAAGCGCCUUCCUUUUUGGUGGGUGUGGAUGAGUGGCGAACGGGUGAGUAACACGUGAGUAACCUGCCCCCUUCUUCUGGAUAACCGCAUGAAAGUGUGGCUAAUACGGGAUAUUCUGGGUCUGUCGCAUGAUGGGUCUGGGAAAGAUAUUGUUUCGGUGGGGGAUGGGCUCGCGGCCUAUCAGCUUGUUGGUGGGGUGAUGGCCUACCAAGGCGGUGACGGGUAGCCGGCCUGGGAGGGUGGACGGUCACACAGGGACUGAGACACGGACCAGACUCCGGCGGGAGGCAGCGGGGGGGAAUAUUGCACAAGGGGCGCAAGCCUGAUGCAGCGACGCCGCGUGAGGGAUGGAGGCCUUCGGGUUGUGAACCUCUUUCGCCAGUGAAGCAGGCCUGCCUCGUUUGUGGGUGGGUUGACGGUAGCUGGAGAAGAAGCGCCGGCUAACUACGUG